This 279-nucleotide long non-coding RNA is filed under the name Nicotiana benthamiana. RNAcentral describes it as "long non-coding RNA (NBEN_LNC028380)". The record is from RNAcentral. Lineage: Eukaryota; Viridiplantae; Streptophyta; Magnoliopsida; Solanales; Solanaceae.
GGGCUCUUUGGGCUUGGGCUUUUCAACUUCUUUCGGUUUUUCCGGUACUUUAGGCUUUUCUGGCUCUUUGGGUUGCUCGGGCUCUUUCGGCUUUUCCGGUGCCUUUGGCUUCUCGGGCUCCUUGGGCUUUUCAAUGAUGACAACCGUAGGCUUCUCAGGUUGUUUAGGCUUUUCGGGCUCUUUAGGCUUUUCCGGUUGUUUGGGCUUCUCGGGUUCUUUGGGUUUCACAGGCUCCUUGGGCUUUUCAGGAGCUUUGGGCUUUGGAGGCUCUUUGAUUUC